RNAcentral lists this long non-coding RNA (507 nucleotides) under Oryzias javanicus (javanese ricefish). RNAcentral describes it as "lncRNA (ENSOJAG00000009360.1)". Lineage: Eukaryota; Metazoa; Chordata; Actinopteri; Beloniformes; Adrianichthyidae. The record is from RNAcentral.
AUGGAAAGAGCUGUCAGGAAGCCAGCAAAGAACUGUUUGGAGCUGUCGUCGAACAACGAAAGCUUAUCUGGGGGCACCACGGAAGACGGCUGUAGUCAGAGCAAUAGGGAAGGGUGGAGUUCUGGUGGAGAGGUGGCCAGUUUAAGGUUCAUCCAGAGGGAAGAGCAGGUGUUUCUUGUAGUUCCCUUCAGGCUCGUUGAAAAGAGAAAGUACAAUUGUGAACGGCGUUGGCGGGUUUGUUGCCUGCCAGUGACUCCUUGCUGAGGUGCUGGUGUGACUCCGCCAGACACUCCACCUCGGCGAAGCGUGCAUUGAGCGCCAUGGCCGGGUGGCUGGGGUCCUGCGUCAUGUUCAGGUAGGCAGCCCGCCGCAGCUGCUCUUCUAUCACCAGAGCCUGCUCUAACAGCUGGAGGACAAGGUCAAGAGGAGAUAAGGCAGAAAUGUAAAACAUAUAAUAAAUAAAACACUUAAACAAAAGAGUUAUGAAUAAGGUGCAGAGGUAGAGUG